This 594-nucleotide ribosomal RNA is filed under the name uncultured organism. RNAcentral describes it as "bacterial SSU rRNA". It matches the Rfam family "Bacterial small subunit ribosomal RNA", at positions 75 to 670 of the family's 1533-position model. The record is from RNAcentral.
UCAGCUUGCUGGAUACACGAGUGGCGCACGGGUGAGUAACGCGUAUGCGAACUACCUUGAACUGUGGAAUAGCGCCGAGAAAUCGGGAUUAUACCCCAUAAUAUCAUUAUCUGCCUGGAUUUUGAAUUAAAGCUUCGGCGGUUCAAGAUGGGCAUGCGUGACAUUAGCUAGUUGGUGAGGUAACGGCUCACCAAGGCUACGAUGUCUAGGGGUCCUGAGAGGGUUACCCCCACACUGGUACUGAGACACGGACCAGACUCCUACGGGAGGCAGCAGUAAGGAAUAUUGGUCAAUGGACGCAAGUCUGAACCAGCCAUGCCGCGUGCAGGAUGACUGCCCUACGGGUUGUAAACUGCUUUUGUAUGGGAAGAAUCUCUCGUACGUGUACGGGAUUGACGGUACCUUACGAAUAAGCAUCGGCUAACUCCGUGCCAGCAGCCGCGGUAAUACGGAGGAUGCAAGCGUUAUCCGGAUACAUUGGGUUUAAAGGGUGCGCAUGCGGAAUGGUAAGUCAGUGGUGAAAUCCCACGGAUCAAACGGGGAACUGCCAUUGAUACUGCUAUUCUAGAGUACACAUGAAGUGGGCGGAAUGUA